Molecule: ribosomal RNA, 467 nt
Filed under: uncultured bacterium
Lineage: Bacteria
Description: partial 16S ribosomal RNA
Rfam family: Bacterial small subunit ribosomal RNA
Source: RNAcentral
ACGAACGCUGGCGGCGUGCUUAACACAUGCAAGUCGAACGGAAAGGCCCUGCUUUUGUGGGGUGCUCGAGUGGCGAACGGGUGAGUAACACGUGAGUAACCUGCCCUUGACUUUGGGAUAACUUCAGGAAACUGGGGCUAAUACCGGAUAGGAGCUCCUGCUGCAUGGUGGGGGUUGGAAAGUUUCGGCGGUUGGGGAUUGACUCGCGGCUUAUCAGCUUGUUGGUGGGGUAGUGGCUUACCAAGGCUUUGACGGGUAGCCGGCCUGAGAGGGUGACCGGCCAAAUUGGGACUGAGAUACGGCCCAGACUCCUACGGGAGGCAGCAGUGGGGAAUAUUGCACAAUGGGCGGAAGCCUGAUGCAGCAACGCCGCGUGCGGGAUGACGGCCUUCGGGUUGUAAACCGCUUUCGCCUGUGACGAAGCGUGAGUGACGGUAAUGGGUAAAGAAGCACCGGCUAACUACGUG